RNAcentral lists this small nuclear RNA (103 nucleotides) under Vicugna pacos (alpaca). The record is from RNAcentral. Lineage: Eukaryota; Metazoa; Chordata; Mammalia; Artiodactyla; Camelidae.
AUGCUUGCUUCAGCAGCACGUAUAUUAAAAUUGGAACGAUACAGAGAUUAGCAUGGCCCUGCGCAAGGGUGACAUGCGAAUCUGUGAAGUGUUCACUAUUUAA